Molecule: transfer RNA, 57 nt
Filed under: Bos taurus (domestic cattle)
Lineage: Eukaryota; Metazoa; Chordata; Mammalia; Artiodactyla; Bovidae
Also listed under: 2 other names
Rfam family: tRNA
About the family: Transfer RNA (tRNA) molecules are approximately 80 nucleotides in length. Their secondary structure includes four short double-helical elements and three loops (D, anti-codon, and T loops).
Source: Rfam by way of RNAcentral
UGGCUCAAACAGUAAAGCGUCUGCCUACAAUGCAGGAGACCCAGGUUCAAUCCCUGG